This 420-nucleotide ribosomal RNA is filed under the name uncultured cyanobacterium. Its description in RNAcentral is "bacterial SSU rRNA". It matches the Rfam family "Bacterial small subunit ribosomal RNA", at positions 390 to 825 of the family's 1533-position model. Lineage: Bacteria; Bacillati; Cyanobacteriota. The record is from RNAcentral.
AGCAAUACCGCGUGAGGGAGGAAGGCUCUUGGGUUGUAACCCUCUUUUGUCAGGGAAGAAGUUCUGACGGUACCUGACGAAUCAGCAUCGGCUAACUCCGUGCCAGCAGCCGCGGUAAUACGGAGGAUGCAAGCGUUAUCCGGAAUUAUUGGGCGUAAAGCGUCCGCAGGUGGUUNUGCAAGUCUGCUGUNAAAGCGCGAGGCUUAACCUCGUACAGGCAGUGGAAACUGCACGACUUGAGUAUGAUAGGGGCAGAGGGAAUUCCCGGUGUAGCGGUGAAAUGCGUAGAUAUUGGGAAGAACACCGGUGGCGAAAGCGCUCUGCUGUGUCAUAUCUGACACUGAGGGACGAAAGCUAGGGGAGCGAAAGGGAUUAGAUACCCCUGUAGUCCUAGCCGUAAACAAUGGACACUAGGCGUUG